RNAcentral lists this ribosomal RNA (574 nucleotides) under Pipiza luteibarba. Its description in RNAcentral is "partial 28S ribosomal RNA". The stretch from base 365 to 574 matches the Rfam family "Eukaryotic large subunit ribosomal RNA", at positions 665 to 817 of the family's 3401-position model. The record is from RNAcentral. Lineage: Eukaryota; Metazoa; Arthropoda; Insecta; Diptera; Syrphidae.
CCCGAUGAACCUGAAUAUCCAUUAUGGAAAAUUCAUCAUUAAUUUUUUAAUAUUUAAAAUAUUAUAAAAAUGGUGUGCAAUUUUUCCAUAUAAGGACAUUGUAAUCUGUUAAUGUGUUAAAUAUUUAUCAAAAAAUCUUUUACAUUAGUUUAUUCAAAUUAGUUGUUUUUAAUGACUAACAUAGAAUAAUUGUAUUAGAUUUGAUAAAUCAUUGACAGAUUUAAUUAUAUAUAAUGCUCAAAUUCUUCGGAAUUUUACAAUGAUAGAGAAAAUCUUUUGAUUUUUUUUAUUUAUAUUGUAUGCAAUUAUAUGAUUAACAAUGCAAUAGAUUCAGGAUACCUUCGGGACCCGUCUUGAAACACGGACCAAGGAGUCUAACAUAUGUGCAAGUCAUUGGGUAUUUUUAAUAAAACCCAAUGGCAUAAUUAACUUAACUGUUUUAAAUGGGAUUAGUUUUUAUUUUAUUAUGAAAUAUAAAUUCAAUCCCGGGGCGUUCUAUAUAGUUAUGCAUAAUGGUAUUUAUAUUAUUUAUGCCUCUAACUAGAGCGUACCUUGAGCAUAUAUGCUGUGACCC